Molecule: transfer RNA, 74 nt
Filed under: Rhodococcus sp. YH1
Lineage: Bacteria; Bacillati; Actinomycetota; Actinomycetes; Mycobacteriales; Nocardiaceae
Description: tRNA-Asn
Rfam family: tRNA
About the family: Transfer RNA (tRNA) molecules are approximately 80 nucleotides in length. Their secondary structure includes four short double-helical elements and three loops (D, anti-codon, and T loops).
Source: RNAcentral
UGGUCUGUAGCUCAAUUGGCAGAGCUGGCGGCUGUUAACCGCCCGGUUUCAGGUUCGAGUCCUGACAGGCCAGC